CAACGAAGCAACCAUGCCCAGUGAGCCU
Molecule: small RNA, 28 nt
Filed under: Bombyx mori (domestic silkworm)
Lineage: Eukaryota; Metazoa; Arthropoda; Insecta; Lepidoptera; Bombycidae
Description: ovarian small RNA-12797
Source: RNAcentral